Molecule: transfer RNA, 83 nt
Filed under: Auriscalpium vulgare
Lineage: Eukaryota; Fungi; Basidiomycota; Agaricomycetes; Russulales; Auriscalpiaceae
Description: tRNA-Gln
Rfam family: tRNA
About the family: Transfer RNA (tRNA) molecules are approximately 80 nucleotides in length. Their secondary structure includes four short double-helical elements and three loops (D, anti-codon, and T loops). Further hydrogen bonds mediate the characteristic L-shaped molecular structure. tRNAs have two regions of fundamental functional importance: the anti-codon, which is responsible for specific mRNA codon recognition, and the 3' end, to which the tRNAs corresponding amino acid is attached (by aminoacyl-tRNA synthetases). tRNAs cope with the degeneracy of the genetic code in two manners: having more than one tRNA (with a specific anti-codon) for a particular amino acid; and 'wobble' base-pairing, i.e. permitting non-standard base-pairing at the 3rd anti-codon position.
Source: RNAcentral
GGCCUUAUAGUGUAGUGGUUUAGCACACGAGGUUUUGACUUCACGGUUUCCUCGUGACCCAGGUUCGAACCCUGGUAAGGCCU